This 1909-nucleotide ribosomal RNA is filed under the name marine metagenome. RNAcentral's name for it is "bacterial LSU rRNA". It matches the Rfam family "Bacterial large subunit ribosomal RNA", at positions 715 to 2573 of the family's 2925-position model. The record is from RNAcentral.
CCGAAACCAGGCGAUCUAUCCAUGGCCAGGGUGAAGGUUGGGUAACACUAACUGGCGGCCCGAACCCACUUAUGUUGAAAAAUGAGGGGAUGAGCUGUGGAUAGGAGUGAAAGGCUAAUCAAGCCUGGAGAUAGCUGGUUCUCCGCGAAAUCUAUUUAGGUAGAGCGUCAUGUAUCACUUCAGGGGGUAGAGCACUGUCUCGGCUAGGGGGUCAUCCCGACUUACCAAUCCGAUGCAAACUCCGAAUACCUGAAAGUGCAAUCAUGGCAGACAGACGGCGGGUGCUAACGUCCGUCGUCAAAAGGGAAACAACCCAGACCGCCAGCUAAGGUCCCGAAAUAACAGUUAAGUGGGAAACGAUGUGGGAAGGCAUAGACAGCUAGGAGGUUGGCUUAGAAGCAGCCACCCUUUAAAGAAAGCGUAAUAGCUCACUAGUCGAGUCUGCCCGUGCGGAAGAUUUAACGGGGCUCAAACUGUUUACCGAAGCUGCGGGUGUGCGCGCGUUCGCGCGUGUACGCGGUAGCGGAGCGUUCUGUAAGCCUGCGAAGGUGUGCUGUAAGGCACACUGGAGGUAUCAGAAGUGCGAAUGCUGACAUGAGUAACGAUAAGGGGGGUGAAAAACCCCCCCGCCGGAAGACCAAGGUUUCCUGCGCAACGCUAAUCGGCGCAGGGUAAGUCGGCCCCUAAGGCGAGGGCGAAAGCCGUAGUCGAUGGGAAACAGGUUAAUAUUCCUGUACUUGUAAUUAUUGCGAUGGAGGGACGGAGUAGGCUAGGCUAGCGCAGCGAUGGUUGUCUGCGUUUAAGCGUGUAGGCCGGGGAUUUAGGUAAAUCCGGAUCCCUCUCUUUAAUUAGAGAAGGCUGAGACGUUAUGACGAACUGGGUCAACGUACCCGGGAAGUAGUUGAUGCCAUGCUUUCAAGAAAAGCUUCUAAGCUCUAGAUAAUUACGAACCGUACCCCAAACCGACACAGGUGGUCAGGUAGAGAAUACCAAGGCGCUUGAGAGAACUCGGGUGAAGGAACUAGGCAAAAUAGCACCGUAACUUCGGGAGAAGGUGCGCCGCAGACAGUGAUCGGAUUUACUCCGUAAGCUGUCUACGGUCGAAGAUACCAGGUGGCUGCGACUGUUUACUAAAAACACAGCACUCUGCAAACACGUAAGUGGACGUAUAGGGUGUGACGCCUGCCCGGUGCUUGAAGGUUAAUUGAUUGGGUUAGCCCUCUUUUCGAAGAGAGCGAAGCUCAUGAUCGAAGCCCAAGUAAACGGCGGCCGUAACUAUAACGGUCCUAAGGUAGCGAAAUUCCUUGUCGGGUAAGUUCCGACCUGCACGAAUGGCGUAACGAUGGCCACGCUGUCUCCACCUAAGACUCAGUGAAAUUGAAUUUGCGGUUAAGAUGCCGUAUACCCGCGGCUAGACGGAAAGACCCCGUGAACCUUUACUACAGCUUUACACUGGACUUUGAUCUUAUCUGUGUAGGAUAGGUGGGAGACUUUGAAACGUGGACGCCAGUUUGCGUGGAGUCAACCUUGAAAUACCACCCUGAUGAUAUUGAGGUUCUAACUUAGGCCCGUUAUCCGGGUUGAGGACAGUGUAUGGUGGGUAGUUUGACUGGGGCGGUCUCCUCCCAAAGAGUAACGGAGGAGCGCGAAGGUACCCUCAGCAUGGUCGGAAAUCAUGCAAUGAGUGCAAUAGCAUAAGGGUGCUUGACUGCGAGACAGACACGUCGAGCAGGUACGAAAGUAGGUUAUAGUGAUCCGGUGGUUCUGCAUGGAAGGGCCAUCGCUCAACGGAUAAAAGGUACUCCGGGGAUAACAGGCUGAUACCGCCCAAGAGUUCACAUCGACGGCGGUGUUUGGCACCUCGAUGUCGGCUCAUCACAUCCUGGGGCUGAAGCCGGUCCCAAGGGUA